This is a small nucleolar RNA of Rattus norvegicus (Norway rat), 120 nucleotides long. Ensembl annotates it as small nucleolar RNA SNORA70. The record is from Ensembl. NCBI's taxonomy places the organism in Eukaryota, Metazoa, Chordata, Mammalia, Rodentia, Muridae.
CCACAGCCGAUUAAGUCAACCAGGAAGGUCCCUUUCCCUGUGGGGGCCUGGUGUGCAAUUGUUGCAGAUGGCAGAAGCCUUUUGCCUAUAUGGUUAUCCAAACGGAAGUUGGAAACAAUU